RNAcentral lists this long non-coding RNA (206 nucleotides) under Elaeis guineensis (African oil palm). RNAcentral's name for it is "long non-coding RNA (EGUI_LNC068100)". Lineage: Eukaryota; Viridiplantae; Streptophyta; Magnoliopsida; Arecales; Arecaceae. The record is from RNAcentral.
UUCUCUAACUAUUCAUGCAACGGAAAGUCAAGUUUGCUAAGGUAUUCAAUAUGCUCAAUCAUGUAUAGUACAUAAUCGAUGACUGAAGCCCUCUCUCGCAUACAGACAUUUAACACUAUGCAGGAGGUUCUGUAUCUCUCUGCAUCCUCUGGGAUGCCGAAAGAUUCAUUCAACAUUUGAAUGAUCUCUUCUGACUAUGUAUCCUC